CAAAAGUUAAAAUCACCGUAAAGAGCUAAGGUAAAAGCUCCAAAUACUGAAAGCAAGGUUUGAGACAAACAAAUCCACCUUGUUUGUGCUUCUUGCCCGAAUAAUACUGUGACCUUACAUUAACAUUUCCUGAUGAAUCAUCUUAUUUAGCUAGCAAGAAUAUUCCUGUGAUCUCAGAGUAUCUUAGUUCCCUACCUCACCUAAGUUUAUCCUUGUAAUGACUAUGUCUGAUGUCCUAAGAUGAUUCCUUCUGGUGUAGGCAAAUGCCUGCUAUUAGACAAGAUAAUGAAAGAGCAAAAUGCUCAAAAUGCAGAAUAAUCACUCUGUAAAGAUUACACAUCAGAUGUCAUGAUGUAACCUUGUUUGUGAAACUUGCUGAGGCAAGAAUAUAUAUGGCUGAAGAUAUAUAAGUUAAAUCCUCCAGCUCUGAAUCAAACAAUUUCACACCAAAGUUGAGAGCCUCUGUCCUUGCCACCUCCUCCUUUUCUUCUGCUGUUUCAGCCUUCUCUGGAUGCUAGCCAUGAUCCUGGGAGCACAACUGACAUAUCACUGAAGCUGCUGAGACCCACUGUGCUGCCUUUGACCAGUGCUCCACUCAGCACACUGCUAGGCAAUCUACACAUGUUGCAGAGGGGAACUGUUCUCACUGUGCCUCGCCUGUCUACAUAGGCACUCCUUGUCCUCUGGACUCCAGGUUAACUAUAGCACAGUGCACUUCCAGACCUAGGGUAGUUGGCUGUUCCCUAGAAGAUGUGUAAGUUACUUCCUCGCUUUACUUUUGAAGAUAUUGCCAGAAUUUUAUAGAAAUUCUGUACUUCACACCGGUACAGGCAGCUGGAAGGUCUGGAAAUACUUCUUUGAAAUCAGUUUCUUUUUUUCCCUUUGAAUCAUCAGAGAAACCAACCAGCACAAAAAGUAGGAUAUAAACAUAGCACCUCAAAGCUUACGAAGCUUACUUUACCAGAAAUGUAAGCCUAAUGACUGUGAAAGGUGAAAAUUAUAUUAAAAACAAAUACAUGGUAAUUAAGAGGCAUACAUCAGCAUGCAAGGGGAGUGCUUUUGGAAACCAGUAAAAGAUCCUAAUUGUUUAUUGAAAAUAAGUGUUGUCAUAGAUGUCUAUAGCUAAUUUAUUAAGACGCUGGAGAACGUUUUAACCUGCUUCACCAAGAGGAAUGUUAUAUUUUUUUUCUUUUUUUUUACACUUUUAUGUGAGUUAUUUUGACAGCUCCAGGGCUAGAAAUGUUGUAAUUAUUGAGAAAACGAGUGUGGUAGAAGUGGGUACCCCACAUAGUCCCUCAAAUUGCCUGUCCAAUAUGAUUUGAUACUAUCAAAUAUCCCGAAUGAUGUAAGGGUAGGUGUGUAAAUUAGUUUCCAAGUUCCUGAGUCCUCUAUGCCUAAUUGCAGCAGUAUUAGUUUUUCUAAUAUGGGAGCUAAACUGAGAUUGUAAAAUCAUUUAAUAUAGGCAACAAAUAGGAAGGAAGGACUAAGAAAUUAUCUUUUUUUUUGCUGUUAACUUGGAUUUAAAUUGCUGUUACUGAGAAGAGUAGCAUCUUGGAUCCUACUGUCCUUAAGCCAGUGUUUUUCAGUUGGUUUUCUUUUUCAAGAUGAAAAUUGCAAAAAAAAUAAAAGUUUCAGCCCUCCUUGUCUUUAUAAAACUGAAUUGAUACCUGCUUGUAAAAGUGACAAAUAUAUGCAAUAUUUCUUGAAAGGCUGAAAAGCGUGCCGACCUUGAGGAACAAAAGUCACCAGAAGCACAGAAACUAGGUUGCCUUUGCUUUAUAAUUUGCACAAUUUUCAACAACGUGCCAACACCUGCCUGUGAUUCAUGACUACUGUGUGUCACGACCCACUCUUUUAGCAACACUGCCCUGAUCCAUCCCCCUAACCUUAGUGAUGAAUAGUGUAAUAAUUGGCUAAUUUCAGUAUUGGUGAUUUACAGUCAUCAACAGUAUUUCCCAAAUUACAACAUGACAGCAAACAAGAGUAAUAUUCCUUCUAAGAGAUAUAUUUGCCUGUAAUUACCUGAAUACUUGAGGUCUAAGCGAGCUCUUGGACACCUUUUGGUUAACUGGGACAUACCAAAAACAGGAAAGAUCAGCCAGAUCUUUAAGGAUGAGGUUGUUCAAAAGGACAAAAAGAAAAGUAAAAUGACUGCUAGUACCACAUGAUAGUUAGCUAGUUAAAUCCAUUGUCUAAAUGCACAGCAUACACUCCUGCCAGUUCAAAGACAAACAAAACCAAAAAAAAAUGGAAUAUUUCAGUGGACUUUCUUAUUUACUUAAUUCUGUAUUUUAAAUUAAUUCAAUAGAGUGUCAAACGAUUAAACCACAGCAAUCUACAAGACUGUAAUCCUUUUCCCAGGGAAACAACAUUAUUUUAUAUAAAACAGGGGGGAGAGGGGAAAGAAUGUUUUACAAGGAAAAAAAGCCUCAAAAUGAAGUGACAGAAUCAGCUUCCUACCUUUGCUGAAGUGUCAUAUUUAUUUAGCUACAAAUGUGUGAAGGAUUCACCAACAGGACUGCCUCAGAAGAGGAAAUAGCCAAGAAGUGUACCUUGCUGUGGGCUAUUUGGGAUGUCAGUGGUUCAAAGGGCUCCUAACACAGCGAGGGUCACUGUCCCAGGUCUUCUGGAAAUCUCUGUAGGGAAACCUCCCAAGACAAAAGGUGGCUGUAAAAUGCUUCAGUAUAAGGUACCCCAUCAGUGUCUUGAUUAGCUCAGGCUAACUCUUUCCCUGUAAUACUAAUCAAACAAUGGAAAUUGUUUUUAGCAUGCAGCAGGCCACGUGCAAGGAAGCCUACGCUUCAAUCAGUGCAGCAUGUUGUGAAGCCUCAGCAGCCUUGCCUAUACUAGGGAGCCUGUAAAAUAUGUUAGCUAUCCUUACUAAUUUUAAUCCUUAACAUUUUAUCUGGAUUAGCAACUUCUAUAGUGUAUUAGGUACCCUGGUCAAAUAAUUUGUUGAACCCAAGACUGCUCAAAGGUUGAGUACAUUUGCAUCCUGGAUCAAGCACUGGAGGAGCAACUGAAUCUGGAUGGUCCAAAUCUGACUAGUAAUCAGUUACGUCAAAGUAAUAAAACAGACGUAUCUUGAAAGUGCUUCACAGAGUCCUUUGAUGUGUCCUUUAGUAAACACAAUGGGCCAAAUUAAGUACUGCUGAAAACUGCUGUAAGAGCUUGGUCAUUUUCAGUAACAGUGUAACUCUUACAGACUUAGUAUGCAGUCUGAUCACAGCCUGAGGGAUCAAAAAACAGGUAUAACAAGGAAAAGCAACCACCUCUAUGGUGAAAGUAGGUCACCAUUAAACACCUUUUUAAAGUGAUCUCCAGCGGAUGUACCCUGGCCUACCAAAACUGAUAGAACUCUGGUUUGCUCCAGAGAGGGGUUCCACCUGCUGCAUUGAGCCUGUGUUAUCUUAUUUUAGUAACUGUGAUUAAUUAUGCUGCCCUUCACACCCCUAUUUUAAGAUGCUAUUUUGCUGCAUAUGUUUAAAUUAUCUAUGUUUAUUCAGGAAUGUAAAGAAUUCAUCUGAAAGAAGAAAACAAAGACAGUAACUGCAUGCCAACAAAAGUUUUCGUUUUUCAAAGUUGGCACUGCAAUUAUGCUGUGCACGUGCUCAUCUGACUUUCAUGCUUCAAUAUCCAUAGAGCUGAAUCAGCACAGAAAAUGAACAUUCUUGUUGACGCAAACUGCUGCUGACUUGAAAGGAGUAUCUUUUUCAUUUAGAUCAAAUGGCAGUUUUGCUGGGAAAAAAAUGAAU
Molecule: long non-coding RNA, 3755 nt
Organism: Neopsephotus bourkii (Bourke's parrot)
Lineage: Eukaryota; Metazoa; Chordata; Aves; Psittaciformes; Psittacidae
Exons: 2
Source: RefSeq, a predicted model, not a curated record